This 422-nucleotide long non-coding RNA is filed under the name Ananas comosus (pineapple). RNAcentral's name for it is "long non-coding RNA (ACOM_LNC007149)". Lineage: Eukaryota; Viridiplantae; Streptophyta; Magnoliopsida; Poales; Bromeliaceae. The record is from RNAcentral.
AAAAUUUACAAGUUUUGAGUUUGUCAAAAACUGGGCGACCUUUUUCGAUUUUGCAGAUUCCGUCCGAAUUUUUAAUAAAUUGACCAAAAUACUCUAAUACCUUUUUCUCUCUCUUUUUUUUUCUCACAUUCUUUUUUUCUUGUCGAAAAAGACGACGGAGGCGAAGGCGGAAACGACCCCGAUCGUCUCUGCACCUCACGCCCUCACCCUCUCCCGCGCACCCCUCGCCCUACUCGCCUCCGACAUCGCCUUUUUUUUUUCUUCUCUCCAACCCUUCUCUACCACCUUCGCGGCCCUCUGUAACGAUAACGAGGACGAUAACGCUUCCUCUUGCUCCGGCUUCGCUCUCCACCUCCACUGCAACGAAUUUUCUAUCCGCCAAAUAAACCUGCCGUCCCCACUGCCGCCACUGGCGACGAAGA